RNAcentral lists this ribosomal RNA (512 nucleotides) under uncultured bacterium. Its description in RNAcentral is "partial 16S ribosomal RNA". It matches the Rfam family "Bacterial small subunit ribosomal RNA", at positions 28 to 507 of the family's 1533-position model. The record is from RNAcentral.
GAUGAACGCUGGCGGCGUGCCUAAUACAUGCAAGUCGAACGAAACUUCUUUAUCACCGAGUGCUUGCACUCACCGAUAAAGAGUUGAGUGGCGAACGGGUGAGUAACACGUGGGCAACCUGCCCAAAAGAGGGGGAUAACACUUGGAAACAGGUGCUAAUACCGCAUAACCAUAGUUACCGCAUGGUAACUAUGUAUAAGGUGGCUAUACUACCGCUUUUGGAUGGGCCCGCGGCGCAUUAGCUAGUUGGUAGGGUAAAGGCUUACCAAGGCAAUGAUGCGUAGCCGAAUUGAGAGGUUGAUCGGCCACAUUGGGACUGAGACACGGCCCAAACUCCUACGGGAGGCAGCAGUAGGGAAUCUUCCACAAUGGGCGAAAGCCUGAUGGAGCAACGCCGCGUGGGUGAAGAAGGUCUUCGGAUCGUAAAACCCUGUUGUUAGAGAAGAAAGUGCGUGAGAGUAACUGUUCACGUUUCGACGGUAUCUAACCAGAAAGCCACUGCUAACUACGUG